GCACAAGCAGCGGAGCGUGUGGUUUAAUUCGAUGCUACACGAAGAACCUUACCAGGGUUUGACAUGCAAGUGGUAGAACCGAAAGGCGACGACCCUUCGGGGAGCCUGCACAGGUGCUGCAUGGCUGUCGUCAGCUCGUGUCGUGAGAUGUUCGGUUAAGUCCGCUAACGAGCGCAACCCUCGCUGUGUGUUACAAGUGUCACACGGUACUGCCGGUCUUAAGCCGGAGGAAGGUGGGGAUGACGUCAAGUCAGCAUGGCCUUUAUGUCCUGGGCUACACACACGCUACAAUGGCCAACACAAUAGGUUGCUAAGCCGCGAGGUGGGGCCAAUCCUCAAAGUUGGUCUCAGUUCAGAUUGCAGGCUGCAACCCGCCUGCAUGAAGUCGGAAUCGCUAGUAAUCGCAGGUCAGCAUACUGCGGUGAAUACGUUCCCGGGCCUU
Molecule: ribosomal RNA, 442 nt
Filed under: uncultured Leptolinea sp.
Lineage: Bacteria; Bacillati; Chloroflexota; Anaerolineae; Anaerolineales; Anaerolineaceae
Description: bacterial SSU rRNA
Rfam family: Bacterial small subunit ribosomal RNA
Source: RNAcentral